ACUAAACAACUAGCUUAUUCAAUAAAAUAACUAAACAAUAUAAAUAUUACAAAAUCAACCCAACAGAAAAAACUAAACCAUUCUUUUACUUAAGUAUGAGAGACAGAAAAAUUUAUUUAAAGCAAUAGAAAACAGUACCGCGAGGGAAAGUUGAAAAAGAAAUGAAAUAACUCCUAUAAGUACCAAAAAGCAAAGACUAAACCUUGUACCUUUUGCAUCAUGAUUUAACCAGUAAAUACAAGCAAAAAGACUUUUAGUUUUAAACCCCGAAACCAGGUGAGCUACCCCGAGACAACCUAUGUAGGGCCAACCCGUCUCUGUGGCAAAAGAGUGGGAAGAGCUCCGGGUAGAAGUGACAAACCUAUCGAACCUGGUGAUAGCUGGUCACCUAAGAAAUGAAUAAAAGUUCAGCCUCGCACACCUCAAAUCAACAACCCAAAUAUACACCCAAAGAUAAAAGAGAAAAUACACGAGAGUUAAUUAAAGGGGGUACAGCCCCUUUAAUAAAGGACACAACCUUACAUAGGAGAAUAAAGAUCACAAUAUAAAAAAUAUACUAUCCCAGUGGGCCUAAAAGCAGCCACCUAAAAAGAAAGCGUUAAAGCUCAGACAGAAAUAAAUUUAUUAUUCAGAUAAAAAAUCUUACUUCCCUAAAUACUAUUAGGAUAAUCCAUGCACACAUGGAAGAAACUAUGCUAAAAUUAGUAACAAGAAGGCCCACCCUUCUCCCAACACAAGUGUAAACCAGAUUGGACCAACCACUGGUAACUAACGAACCCAACCCAAGAGAGCAAUGUGGACUACAAAAACCACCAAGAAAAACCCACAACCUAAUACUCAAUCGUUAACCCCACACUGGAGUGUAAUUUUAUAGGAAAGACUAAAAGAAAAGAAAGGAACUCGGCAAACACAAGCCCCGCCUGUUUACCAAAAACAUCGCCUCCUGCAACAAACCACACAUAGGAGGUCAAACCUGCCCAGUGAUUAUAGAUUCAACGGCCGCGGUAUUCUGACCGUGCAAAGGUAGCGUAAUCAUUAGUCUUUUAAUUAAAGACCUGUAUGAAUGGCCAAACGAAGGCUUAACUGUCUCUCUUUUCAAGUCAGUGAAAUUGAUCUACCCGUGCAGAAGCGGGUAUUAUUAUACAAGACGAGAAGACCCUGUAGAGCUUAAAGUACAAGACUCAACUACGUUAAAUAACUCAAUAAAAAAUAAAAACCCCAUAGAGUGAGACUCUACUUUCGGUUGGGGCAACCACGGAGAAAAAUAAAUCCUCCACAGUGGACUGGGACAAUUGUCCUAAAACUAAGAGAGACAUCUCUAAGCCACAGAAUAUCUGACCAAACAUGACCCGGCUACAAAGCCGAAUAACGAACCAAGUUACCCCAGGGAUAACAGCGCAAUCCUCUCCCAGAGUUCAUAUCGACGAGGGGGUUUACGACCUCGAUGUUGGAUCAGGACAUCCUAAUGGUGCAGCCGCUAUUAAGGGUUCGUUUGUUCAACGAUUAAUAGUCCUACGUGAUCUGAGUUCAGACCGGAGCAAUCCAGGUCAGUUUCUAUCUGUAACGCCACUUUUCUCAGUACGAAAGGACAGGAAAAGAGGGGUCCAUGCCUAAGGCACACCCCACCCCUAACUUAUGAAAACAAAUUAAUAAAGAAAGGGAGGCCAAGCCAAAUUGGCCUAAAUAAGGAUAU
Molecule: ribosomal RNA, 1693 nt
Filed under: Garra poecilura
Lineage: Eukaryota; Metazoa; Chordata; Actinopteri; Cypriniformes; Cyprinidae
Description: 16S rRNA
Rfam family: Bacterial large subunit ribosomal RNA
Source: RNAcentral